CCUACGGGAGGCAGCAGUGAGGAAUAUUGGUCAAUGGACGGAAGUCUGAACCAGCCAUGCCGCGUGCAGGAAGACGGCUCUAUGAGUUGUAAACUGCUUUUGUACAAGGGUAAACCUGAAUACGUGUAUUCAGCUGAAAGUACUGUACGAAUAAGGGUCGGCUAACUCCGCGCCAGCCGCCGCGGUAAUACGGAGGAUCCAAGCGUUAUCCGGAUUUAUUGGGUUGAAAGGGUGCGUAGGCGGAUGGAUAAGUUAGAGGUGAAAUGUCCGGGCUUAACUCGGGAACUGCCUCUAAUACUGUUGAUCUAGAGAGUAGAUGCGGUAGGCAGAAUGUAUGGUGUAGCGGUGAAAUGCUUAGAGAUCAUACAGAACACCGGUUGCGAAGGCAGCUUACCAAUCUAUAUCUGACGUUGAGGCGCGAAAGCGUGGGGAGCAAACAGGAUUAGAUACCCGUGUAGUC
Molecule: ribosomal RNA, 460 nt
Filed under: uncultured bacterium
Lineage: Bacteria
Description: partial 16S ribosomal RNA
Rfam family: Bacterial small subunit ribosomal RNA
Source: RNAcentral